This is a non-coding RNA of Macaca mulatta (Rhesus monkey), 89 nucleotides long. The record is from Rfam. Lineage: Eukaryota; Metazoa; Chordata; Mammalia; Primates; Cercopithecidae.
AUCGCUUAGGAAUCCUGUUAAAAUGCAGGUUCUGAUUCAGCAGGAGACUCAAGGUUCUGCUUUUCUAACAAGCUCCCAGGUGACGCUGA